CUUUCUUUCUCAAGUCUGCCCCUGGCUGUGUGGGAGACAUGGAUCUACACGCGAGAGAUAGUCGUUAUGACCUUAUUGCUCAAUUUGAUGGGGGAGUAGUUAUACACCAACACCGCUGAUCUUUUGAGAAAUGAGGUACUACAGAAGACCUUGGGCCAACUGGGCUUCCUCACCGCCCUGGCCUUCAGCGGUAAUAUAGCAACACCAUGUUUGAGAUGCUACCAAGAAUGGCCUCCUGAUCCCAGACAAAAAUGAGCAGGGCUUCAACAGGUUUAAGCUGCAACAAAGAAUGGCCUUCUGAUCCCAGACCUGAGCAGGGCUUCAACAACAGCCGAAUGAAUCUUCAAGGGAUGACUUGAGGAGCCGCAGCCUUUCACUAUAAGAAAUGGCAAGAUUGUGCAGCUGCGAGGACAGACACCUGUUGACCCUAAGCUGCUGUCACUCACCCUGGAAUAAAAAUAACUGUUGCUUCUGAGAAUCGUACACCUAAAAUCAGCUCCCAGCACUGCAACAUACACAGCCAAAAAAACCACUUAAUUGUCACAGUAUAACACAAAGUCCGUUAAACUUCAGAGAUAUCAGUCUAUUUAGGAAGCACAAGUAAUGGUAAAUCAAUUUCACCUACUUUGAUGAAAAUGGCAAGCGGUGUAAUGGAGAGGUUAAAGCAAGACCACUCCCAAGAAGGCAAUAUGUUUGCAUGUGGUCCUCGUGUUCCCCUAACUUAAAUCCUAUUGAGAACCAAUGAGGCGUUAUGUAUCAGGCAUCCGAUGCUGCCAAGUACUGCCCCAGAGUGUCCAGGAGGUCAUUGAUGCCCUAAUCCAGGUCUGGGAGGAGAUUCGGAAGACUCAAUCCGCCAACUCAACAGGAGCAGGCCCAGAUGUCAGGACUGUAAGGCAGGCAGAGGCCAUACUUAUUACUGAGUCCCAUUAUGAGUUGUGGCAGCUUGUGGUUUAAAUGUUUGACUUUCACUGUAGUUUUGAUACCGUCUGUCAAUGUGUUGAUGAUUUUGGUUUCCACUGAUUUCAUUCUAAACAAAUCACACAGAUUUUCAACUUUAAUAGGUGGUUCAUCAAGAUCUGAUGUGUGAUUUAAGUUUUUCCUUAUUUUUUAAUGUAGCAGUUUAUUUAGCCUGAUUUGUAUGUGUACUCAAUAAACUAUCAUUAUCCAAA
Molecule: long non-coding RNA, 1169 nt
Organism: Limanda limanda (common dab)
Lineage: Eukaryota; Metazoa; Chordata; Actinopteri; Pleuronectiformes; Pleuronectidae
Exons: 8
Source: RefSeq, a predicted model, not a curated record